RNAcentral lists this non-coding RNA (29 nucleotides) under Mus musculus (house mouse). The record is from RNAcentral. Lineage: Eukaryota; Metazoa; Chordata; Mammalia; Rodentia; Muridae.
UAUUGUUAGAAAUACCCAGGAGUCUAGGU